ACUCAAAUGAAUAGACGGGGGCUCACACAAGCGGUGGAGCAUGUGGCUUAAUUCGAGGCUACGCGAAGAACCUUAUCCUAGGCUUGACAUGUGCGAAAGCGGUAGGAAGUAGGGAGCGGAAACGUUUCCCCAACGGUAUCCAGUCCGGAACCUACUACAGGUGCUGCAUGGCUGUCGUCAGCUCGUGUCGUGAGAUGUCGGGUUAAGUCCCAUAACGAGCGAAACCCUUGCCUCUAGUUGCCAGCGGGUCAUGCCGGGGACUCUGGAGGGACUGCCGGUGUUAAACCGGAGGAAGGUGGGGAUGACGUCAAGUCCUCAUGGCCUUUAUGCCUAGGGCUGCACACGUGCUACAAUGGUGCAUACAAAGGGACGCAAACUCGCAAGAGGGAGCAAAUCCCAAAAAAUGCACCCCAGUUCAGAUCGAAGGCUGCAACUCGCCUUCGUGAAGUUGGAAUCGCUAGUAAUCGCGGGUCAGCAACACCGCGGUGAAUGUGUUCCUGAGCCUUGCACACACCGCCCGU
Molecule: ribosomal RNA, 521 nt
Filed under: uncultured bacterium
Lineage: Bacteria
Description: partial 16S ribosomal RNA
Rfam family: Bacterial small subunit ribosomal RNA
Source: RNAcentral